GCCUUAAUACAUUGCAAGUCGAGCGGACAGAUGGGAGCUUGCUCCCUGAUGUUAGCGGCGGACGGGUGAGUAACACGUGGGUAACCUGCCUGUAAGACUGGGAUAACUCCGGGAAACCGGGGCUAAUACCGGAUGGUUGUUUGAACCGCAUGGUUCAAACAUAAAAGGUGGCUUCGGCUACCACUUACAGAUGGACCCGCGGCGCAUUAGCUAGUUGGUGAGGUAAUGGCUCACCAAGGCAACGAUGCGUAGCCGACCUGAGAGGGUGAUCGGCCACACUGGGACUUGAGACACGGCCCAGACUCCUACGGGAGGCAGCAGUAGGGAAUCUUCCGCAAUGGACGAAAGUCUGACGGAGCAACGCCGCGUGAGUGAUGAAGGUUUUCGGAUCGUAAAGCUCUGUUGUUAGGGAAGAACAAGUACCGUUCGAAUAGGGCGGUACCUUGACGGUACCUAACCAGAAAGCCACGGCUAACUACGUGCCAGCAGCCGCGGUAAUACGUAGGUGGCAAGCGUUGUCCGGAAUUAUUGGGCGUAAAGGGCUCGCAGGCGGUUUCUUAAGUCUGAUGUGAAAGCCCCCGGCUCAACCGGGGAGGGUCAUUGGAAACUGGGGAACUUGAGUGCAGAAGAGGAGAGUGGAAUUCCACGUGAGCGGUGAAAUGCGUAGAGAUGUGGAGGAACACCAGUGGCGAAGGCGACUCUCUGGUCUGUAACUGACGCUGAGGAGCGAAAGCGUGGGGAGCGAACAGGAUUAGAUACCCUGGUAGUCCACGCCGUAAACGAUGAGUGCUAAGUGUUAGGGGGUUUCCGCCCCUUAGUGCUGCAGCUAACGCAUUAAGCACUCCGCCUGGGGAGUACGGUCGCAAGACUGAAACUCAAAGGAAUUGACGGGGGCCCGCACAUAGCGGUGGAGCAUGUGGUUUAAUUCGAAGCAACGCGAAGAACCUUACCAGGUCUUGACAUCCUCUGACAAUCCUAGAGAUAGGACGUCCCCUUCGGGGGGCAGAGUGACAGGUGGUGCAUGGUUGUCGUCAGCUUCGUGUCGUGAG
This 1049-nucleotide ribosomal RNA is filed under the name Bacillus subtilis. RNAcentral describes it as "bacterial SSU rRNA". It matches the Rfam family "Bacterial small subunit ribosomal RNA", at positions 46 to 1071 of the family's 1533-position model. Lineage: Bacteria; Bacillati; Bacillota; Bacilli; Caryophanales; Bacillaceae. The record is from RNAcentral.